CGGCCGCUGGAGCCAUACCUGAAGGAGGCUAUGGGAGUACGGAGCCCAAAGCAGAGACGCGAGCCCCGACAGAGGUCUUAAUGAAGCUGGUAUUGAUGCAACAAAGAUUUUAAGACAAUGGAAGAGCGGAAAGCAAAGAGGAAGAGUCCCAAGUCCUUCAGUGCCCACUCUACUCAGGUUGUUAAUGCCAAAAAAAAUACCAUCCCAGCUAGCAAAAGCACAGGGUUUUCAAAUCCCGCGUCGCAGUCAACUUCCCAGAGGCCAAAGUUAAAAAGGGUGACGAAAGAAAAGAACAAACCUCCAGGAGGAGAAGGGAAGGGUGCCCAGGCCACACCCAUCCAGCACUCCUUCCUCACCGACGUCUCUGAUGUCCAGGAGAUGGAGCGCGGGCUCCUUAGUCUGCUGAAUGAUUUCCACUCAGGAAAGCUGCAGGCGUUUGGAAAUGAAUGUUCCAUAGAAUAAACGUUGUCGGGCUGAAGGAUUCGUCCUUGCCAUGGCCGCACUGACCCAGUGCCGGUCACACGGUGGUGGUGCACAGGUGUCCUGUAGCGGUCCAGCUUCAGUUUACGUCAGACAAUCAGUACACACGCAGGUGUGUUUCCCAAUGGCCAGUGACAAAUGUUUAAUAAGUACUCGUGAGAUUUGCUAUUUUUAAUAAAGCAAUUGUUU
RNAcentral lists this long non-coding RNA (669 nucleotides) under Rattus norvegicus (Norway rat). Its description in RNAcentral is "long non-coding RNA NONRATT001977". Lineage: Eukaryota; Metazoa; Chordata; Mammalia; Rodentia; Muridae. The record is from RNAcentral.